RNAcentral lists this ribosomal RNA (418 nucleotides) under uncultured bacterium. RNAcentral's name for it is "bacterial SSU rRNA". It matches the Rfam family "Bacterial small subunit ribosomal RNA", at positions 48 to 507 of the family's 1533-position model. The record is from RNAcentral.
UUGUUACAUGGCACCUGACUACUUUAUUACAUUUCUAGUGGCGGACGGGUGAGUAACACGUUGGAACUGCCCCAAAGUGAGAUAGCCACCGAAAGGUGGUCUAAUACUUCAUAAUAUCCAUCUCGUAUGGAUUAAAGCUUUAUGCGCUUUGGGAGGGGCCUGCGUAACAUUAGCUAGUUGGUGAGGUAAAAGCUCACCAAGGCUUCGAUGUUUAACUGGUUUGAGAGGAUGACCAGUCACACUGGGACUGAGAUACGGCCCAGACUCCUACGGGAGGCAGCAGUAAGGAAUCUUCCACAAUGGGGGCAACCCUGAUGGAGCAAUACCGCGUGCAGGAUGAAGCGUUUCGGCGUGUAAACUGCUUUUAUCACCGAAGAUUAUGACUGUAGGUGAAGAAUAAGGACCGGCUAACUACGUG